GCAGUCGCCGCGGUAAUACGGAGGGCGCGAGCGUUACCCGGAUUUACUGGGCGUAAAGGGCGUGUAGGCGGCCUGGGGCGUCCCAUGUGAAAGGCCACGGCUCAACCGUGGAGGAGCGUGGGAUACGCUCAGGCUAGAGGGUGGGAGAGGGUGGUGGAAUUCCCGGAGUAGCGGUGAAAUGCGCAGAUACCGGGAGGAACGCCGAUGGCGAAGGCAGCCACCUGGUCCACUUCUGACGCUGAGGCGCGAAAGCGUGGGGAGCAAACCGGAUUAGAUACCCCAGUAGUCCCUGUCUCUUAUAC
Molecule: ribosomal RNA, 302 nt
Filed under: uncultured bacterium
Lineage: Bacteria
Description: partial 16S ribosomal RNA
Rfam family: Bacterial small subunit ribosomal RNA
Source: RNAcentral